Molecule: ribosomal RNA, 374 nt
Filed under: uncultured eukaryote
Lineage: Eukaryota
Description: partial 18S ribosomal RNA
Rfam family: Eukaryotic small subunit ribosomal RNA
Source: RNAcentral
UGUAAGCGUAUACCAAAGUUGUUGCAGUUAAAACGCUCGUAGUCGAAUUUUGGUGUGAGUUAUGGAGACUCCUACUGGAUGUUGAAGUAACUUCGCCUUUGUGGAGGGGGGUGUGGUGGUACUUUAUUGUAUUGCUGCAUUUCCGCCACUGUUUACUGUGAAAAAAUUAGAGUGUUCAAAGCGAGCGUUUGCCAUGAAUACAUUAGCAUGGAAUAAUAGAAUAGGACCUGGUUCUGUUUUAUUGGUUUGUCUGUAUCAGGCAAUGAUUAACAGGGACGGUCGGGGGUAUUUGUAUUCCAGCGUUAGAGGUGAAAUUCUUGGAUCGCUGGAAGACAGACAGCUGCGAAAGCGUCUACCAAGGACGUUUUCAUUGA